UGGGAACGCGAAGAACCUUACCUGGACUUGACAUACCCUGAAUAUCUUAGAGAUAAGAGAAGCCCUUCGGGGCAGGGAUACAGGUGGUGCAUGGUUGUCGUCAGCUCGUGUCGUGAGAUGUUAGGUUAAGUCCUGCAACGAGUGCAACCCCUGUUGUUAGUUGCUAACAUUAAGUUGAGCACUCUAGCAAGACUGCUGCGAUUAACGCGGAGGAAGGUGGGGAUGACGUCAAAUCAUCAUGCCCCUUAUGUCCAGGGCAACACACGUGCUACAAUGGGCAGUACAGAGAGAAGCAAGACCGCGAGGUGGAGCAAACCUCAAAAACUGCCCCCAGUUCGGAUUGUAGGCUGAAACUCGCCUACAUGAAGUUGGAGUUGCUAGUAAUCGCGAAUCAGAAUGUCGCGGUGAAUGCGUUCCCGGGUCUUGUACACACCG
Molecule: ribosomal RNA, 435 nt
Filed under: uncultured bacterium
Lineage: Bacteria
Description: bacterial SSU rRNA
Rfam family: Bacterial small subunit ribosomal RNA
Source: RNAcentral